This is a long non-coding RNA of Sceloporus undulatus (fence lizard), 770 nucleotides long. RefSeq lists it as uncharacterized. The transcript has 5 exons. Lineage: Eukaryota; Metazoa; Chordata; Lepidosauria; Squamata; Phrynosomatidae. The record is from RefSeq and is a predicted model, not a curated record.
AGAUAUGAAAAUCCAGAUAUAAGGACAACUUACCCAACUUACUGUGCAGCAGGUACAGGAGACCUAUUUUGGAUAUUAAAUAACAAGCAGAGAAGAAGAAACAAUGGUGAACAGAAACUCAUGGGAAGCAAACAAGCUGGAUAAGAGUGCAGCCACUAGAAGUCAUUAGUGGCCUCAUUUCCUGUGGAUUUGUUUGAGAUUACAAGAAAUGCCAAAAUAGGACUUGUUUUUGGCCAUUUCAAAACACACACAUACACUACCGCAAAAAAGAAGAAGAAGAAGAAGAAGAAGAAGAAGAAGAAGAAGAUAAUCUGCAAGAUUAAGGAAGGAAAACAUAUGAAUUGGAGUAAGCAAAAAAGAAACAGUAAAACAGAGAGCAGUCAUCACAAGCACUGAAAAGCAAACAGCAUGGUAUUUUUGCCUUUCAUGCUGUUUAUGGGACCCUUGGGCAAAAAGCAACAUAGACUUGAACAUCGGCAUUACAUUGCACAAGUCAUUCAGGAAUUGCACAGGAAUGACAAAAUAUGGUCUAAGUGAAUGUGCAAGACUCUCUGAUACAGAAAGCACAAGAUGAUGUUUAAGCUUGGUCAAACACUUUGCCCAGUCACCCCAACACAAGUUAAAGACACCAGUCUUUUAAAAGGAUUGGUUCAAAAUGCAUAAGAUUGAAAUGAGCUGCCUCUGGUGAUAACAUGGCAGUGGGGUGGCACUGGGGUCUGAAUAGAGUAUCAAGACUUUUCAACAUGUGCACAUAAAUGUAGCAGCACCUU